This 482-nucleotide ribosomal RNA is filed under the name uncultured bacterium. RNAcentral's name for it is "partial 16S ribosomal RNA". It matches the Rfam family "Bacterial small subunit ribosomal RNA", at positions 30 to 507 of the family's 1533-position model. The record is from RNAcentral.
AUUGAACACUGGCGGCAUGCCUUACACAUGCAAGUCGAACGGUAACGGGCCUUCGGGUGCCGACGAGUGGCGAACGGGUGAGUAAUACAUCGGAACGUGCCCGAUCGUGGGGGAUAACGAGGCGAAAGCUUUGCUAAUACCGCAUACGAUCUACGGAUGAAAGCAGGGGACCGCAAGGCCUUGCGCGGACGGAGCGGCCGAUGGCAGAUUAGGUAGUUGGUGGGAUAAAAGCUUACCAAGCCGACGAUCUGUAGCUGGUCUGAGAGGAUGAUCAGCCACACUGGGACUGAGACACGGCCCAGACUCCUACGGGAGGCAGCAGUGGGGAAUUUUGGACAAUGGGCGCAAGCCUGAUCCAGCCAUGCCGCGUGCAGGAUGAAGGCCUUCGGGUUGUAAACUGCUUUUGUACGGAACGAAAAGCCUUCUUUUAAUACAGGAGGGUCAUGACGGUACCGUAAGAAUAAGCACCGGCUAACUACGUG